RNAcentral lists this ribosomal RNA (685 nucleotides) under Nocardia farcinica. Its description in RNAcentral is "bacterial SSU rRNA". It matches the Rfam family "Bacterial small subunit ribosomal RNA", at positions 26 to 725 of the family's 1533-position model. The record is from RNAcentral. Lineage: Bacteria; Bacillati; Actinomycetota; Actinomycetes; Mycobacteriales; Nocardiaceae.
AGGACGAACGCUGGCGGCGUGCUUAACACAUGCAAGUCGAGCGGUAAGGCCCUUCGGGGUACACGAGCGGCGAACGGGUGAGUAACACGUGGGUGAUCUGCCCUGUACUUCGGGAUAAGCCUGGGAAACUGGGUCUAAUACCGGAUAUGACCUUACAUCGCAUGGUGUUUGGUGGAAAGAUUUAUCGGUACAGGAUGGGCCCGCGGCCUAUCAGCUUGUUGGUGGGGUAAUGGCCUACCAAGGCGACGACGGGUAGCCGGCCUGAGAGGGCGACCGGCCACACUAAGACUGAGACACGGCCCAGACUCCUACGGGAGGCAGCAGUGGGGAAUAUUGCACAAUGGGCGAAAGCCUGAUGCAGCGACGCCGCGUGAGGGAUGACGGCCUUCGGGUUGUAAACCUCUUUCGACAGGGACGAAGCGCAAGUGACGGUACCUGUAGAAGAAGCACCGGCCAACUACGUGCCAGCAGCCGCGGUAAUACGUAGGGUGCGAGCGUUGUCCGGAAUUACUGGGCGUAACUCUGCUGAUGGGGAAGUUUGUCGCGUCGUCCGUGAAAACUUGGGGCUCAACCCCAAGCUUGCGGGCGAUACGGGCAGACUUGAGUUCUUCAGGGGAGACUGGAAUUCCUGGUGUAGCGGUGAAAUGCGCAGAUAUCAGGAGGAACACCGGGUGGCGAAGGCGGG